AUGUGGGGAGAAGAGGCAGACGUGAAGCCAGGCACAGGCCCGGGCAGACUGGGGAGGUCAGGAGGUCACCACCCUGCUCCCGGCUCCUCACUCCACUUCCUGUUCCCACACAGGGAAGGUUAGCCCGCAUGUCACUCGAGGCAGAACCCUCUGGUCACAUCACAGAAUGUCCUUAGUCCCCGAGGCCCAGGAAUGUUCCCCUCCACCCUCUCUGGGGGGGAUGAUCUUGCUGCAGCUGACACUGUGCUGACGGUCACUUCUCACCUGACAUCGGGACACCCUUCAUUGGCAUCUUAGAGCCCGUGCAGCAGCAGCUCCUGGGCAGCAGCCUUCUCUUUCGCUGCUUGGGAGUCUUGGUGCACAAAUGCUUGCAUGCGCGUCAGAAGACUGAAUUUCCACUUGUCAUUUGUCAUGGUGUUUGGAGGACUGAUUGAACCGCCGGCUUCUGAGGGUUAUCUUGAUUUUUGCCUUCCACCUUGCCACAGGAGUGCUGGGACCACACAACUAUGUCUAGCGUUACACGGAUCCUGGAGACUCAAACCCAGGCCCCCAUGCUUGUGUGGCAAGCCCUUUACCCACUGCCGGCUAGUUUUAUGUCAAAUUAGUACAAGUUAGGGUUAUCUGAGAGGAGGGAACCUCAGUAAAGAAAAAUGCCUCCGUAAGAGCAGGCUGUAGGCCAGCCUGUAGGGAAUUUUCUUGGUUACUGAUUGAUAAUGGAGGGCCCAGCCCAUUGCGGACCUUGCCACCCCUGGGCUGGCCGUGCUGUAAGAAAGCUGGCUGCCGAGUAUCAAGCCAGUAAGCAGUCUUUCUCCAUGGCCUUUGUAUCUGCUCCUGCCUCUAGGUUCCUAGCCUGCUUGAGUCCC
This 863-nucleotide long non-coding RNA is filed under the name Mus pahari (shrew mouse). RNAcentral's name for it is "RIKEN cDNA 9130204K15 gene (MGP_PahariEiJ_G0004636.1)". Lineage: Eukaryota; Metazoa; Chordata; Mammalia; Rodentia; Muridae. The record is from RNAcentral.